AUUGAACGCUGGCGGCAGGCCUAACACAUGCAAGUCGAGCGGUAGAGAGAAGCUUGCUUCUCUUGAGAGCGGCGGACGGGUGAGUAAUGCCUAGGAAUCUGCCUGGUAGUGGGGGAUAACGUUCGGAAACGGACGCUAAUACCGCAUACGUCCUACGGGAGAAAGCAGGGGACCUUCGGGCCUUGCGCUAUCAGAUGAGCCUAGGUCGGAUUAGCUAGUUGGUGAGGUAAUGGCUCACCAAGGCGACGAUCCGUAACUGGUCUGAGAGGAUGAUCAGGCACACUGGAACGGACACGCGGUCCAGACUCCUACGGGGGGCAGCAGUGGGGAAUAUUGGACAAUGGGCGAAAGCCUGAUCCAGCCAUGCCGCGUGUGUGAAGAAGGUCUUCGGAUUGUAAAGCACUUUAAGUUGGGAGGAAGGGUUGUAGAUUAAUACUCUGCAAUUUUGACGUUACCGACAGAAUAAGCACCGGCUAACUCUGUGCCAGCAGCCGCCGUAA
This 500-nucleotide ribosomal RNA is filed under the name uncultured bacterium. Its description in RNAcentral is "partial 16S ribosomal RNA". It matches the Rfam family "Bacterial small subunit ribosomal RNA", at positions 30 to 523 of the family's 1533-position model. The record is from RNAcentral.